RNAcentral lists this ribosomal RNA (253 nucleotides) under uncultured bacterium. RNAcentral describes it as "partial 16S ribosomal RNA". It matches the Rfam family "Bacterial small subunit ribosomal RNA", at positions 524 to 776 of the family's 1533-position model. The record is from RNAcentral.
UACGAAGGGUGCAAGCGUUACUCGGAAUCACUGGGCGUAAAGCGUGCGUAGGCGGUUCGUUAAGUCUGCUGUGAAAGCCCUGGGCUCAACCUGGGAACUGCAGUGGAUACUGGCGAGCUAGAGUGUGAUAGAGGAUGGUGGAAUUCCCGGUGUAGCGGUGAAAUGCGUAGAGAUCGGGAGGAACACCAGUGGCGAAGGCGGCCAUCUGGAUCAACACUGACGCUGAGGCGCGAAAGCGUGGGGAGCAAACAGG